AUGAGAAUCACCCUGAUUCUUCAGAGGCCGUUUAGGUCCUCUGUCAUUCAUCGGUAUUCUCAGUCCAUUUUCGGAGGAACAUUGGUGUUACAGCAGUGGCAUUUAAUAGGGAACUUGAUCCUUUACAGAUGCUUUUCGUGGACAAGAUUAGAGAAUACAGAUCUAAGCAACAGGCAUUUGGAGGACCUGUGGAUGCUGGCCCAGAGUAUCAGCAAGACCUGGAUAGGGAGCUUUUUAAGCUUAAGCAAAUGUAUAGUAAAGCAGACAUGAAUACAUUCCAUAACUUCAAAUUUGAAAAUUCCAAAGUUGAAGCCAUCGAGAAACCCUAGGCCUGAAGAAAUAAAGUAAAAUUAAUUUGGCAAUUUGUCAUGGAUUACUUAUACAACUAAUCAGAAGUUUCAGAAUAGACGUACAUUUUACAACUCUUAAGUGUUCUUUUAAUUCUGAUUCCAAAUAAAUUAUUGGGUGAUAUUGAA
Molecule: RNA transcript, 476 nt
Organism: Nycticebus coucang (slow loris)
Lineage: Eukaryota; Metazoa; Chordata; Mammalia; Primates; Lorisidae
Gene name: ATP synthase-coupling factor 6, mitochondrial-like
Exons: 2
Source: RefSeq, a predicted model, not a curated record